GGGACACGUGGUAUCCUGUCUGAAUAUGGGGGGACCAUCCUCCAAGGCUAAAUACUCCUGACUGACCGAUAGUGAACCAGUACCGUGAGGGAAAGGCGAAAAGAACCCCGGCGAGGGGAGUGAAAAAGAACCUGAAACCGUGUACGUACAAGCAGUGGGAGCACGCUUAGGCGUGUGACUGCGUACCUUUUGUAUAAUGGGUCAGCGACUUAUAUUCUGUAGCAAGGUUAACCGAAUAGGGGAGCCGAAGGGAAACCGAGUCUUAACUGGGCGUUAAGUUGCAGGGUAUAGACCCGAAACCCGGUGAUCUAGCCAUGGGCAGGUUGAAGGUUGGGUAACACUAACUGGAGGACCGAACCGACUAAUGUUGAAAAAUUAGCGGAUGACUUGUGGCUGGGGGUGAAAGGCCAAUCAAACCGGGAGAUAGCUGGUUCUCCCCGAAAGCUAUUUAGGUAGCGCCUCGUGAAUUCAUCUCCGGGGGUAGAGCACUGUUUCGGCAAGGGGGUCAUCCCGACUUACCAACCCGAUGCAAACUGCGAAUACCGGAGAAUGUUAUCACGGGAGACACACGGCGGGUGCUAACGUCCGUCGUGAAGAGGGAAACAACCCAGACCGCCAGCUAAGGUCCCAAAGUCAUGGUUAAGUGGGAAACGAUGUGGGAAGGCCCAGACAGCCAGGAUGUUGGCUUAGAAGCAGCCAUCAUUUAAAGAAAGCGUAAUAGCUCACUGGUCGAGUCGGCCUGCGCGGAAGAUGUAACGGGGCUAAACCAUGCACCGAAGCUGCGGCAGCGACGCUGAUGCGUUGUUGGGUAGGGGAGCGUUCUGUAAGCCUGCGAAGGUGUGCUGUGAGGCAUGCUGGAGGUAUCAGAAGUGCGAAUGCUGACAUAAGUAACGAUAAAGCGGGUGAAAAGCCCGCUCGCCGGAAGACCAAGGGUUCCUGUCCAACGUUAAUCGGGGCAGGGUGAGUCGACCCCUAAGGCGAGGCCGAAAGGCGUAGUCGAUGGGAAACAGGUUAAUAUUCCUGUACUUGGUGUUACUGCGAAGGGGGGACGGAGAAGGCUAUGUUGGCCGGGCGACGGUUGUCCCGGUUUAAGCGUGUAGGCUGGUUUUCCAGGCAAAUCCGGAAAAUCAAGGCUGAGGCGUGAUGACGAGGCACUACGGUGCUGAAGCAACAAAUGCCCUGCUUCCAGGAAAAGCCUCUAAGCAUCAGGUAACAUCAAAUCGUACCCCAAACCGACACAGGUGGUCAGGUAGAGAAUACCAAGGCGCUUGAGAGAACUCGGGUGAAGGAACUAGGCAAAAUGGUGCCGUAACUUCGGGAGAAGGCACGCUGAUAUGUAGGUGAAGUCCCUCGCGGAUGGAGCUGAAAUCAGUCGAAGAUACCAGCUGGCUGCAACUGUUUAUUAAAAACACAGCACUGUGCAAACACGAAAGUGGACGUAUACGGUGUGACGCCUGCCCGGUGCCGGAAGGUUAAUUGAUGGGGUCAGCGCAAGCGAAGCUCUUGAUCGAAGCCCCGGUAAACGGCGGCCGUAACUAUAACGGUCCUAAGGUAGCGAAAUUCCUUGUCGGGUAAGUUCCGACCUGCACGAAUGGCGUAAUGAUGGCCAGGCUGUCUCCACCCGAGACUCAGUGAAAUUGAACUCGCUGUGAAGAUGCAGUGUACCCGCGGCAAGACGGAAAGACCCCGUGAACCUUUACUAUAGCUUGACACUGAACAUUGAGCCUUGAUGUGUAGGA
Molecule: ribosomal RNA, 1739 nt
Filed under: Escherichia coli
Lineage: Bacteria; Pseudomonadati; Pseudomonadota; Gammaproteobacteria; Enterobacterales; Enterobacteriaceae
Description: partial 23S ribosomal RNA
Rfam family: Bacterial large subunit ribosomal RNA
Source: RNAcentral